This 485-nucleotide ribosomal RNA is filed under the name Escherichia coli. RNAcentral's name for it is "partial 23S ribosomal RNA". It matches the Rfam family "Bacterial large subunit ribosomal RNA", at positions 2236 to 2720 of the family's 2925-position model. The record is from RNAcentral. Lineage: Bacteria; Pseudomonadati; Pseudomonadota; Gammaproteobacteria; Enterobacterales; Enterobacteriaceae.
UUAUCCGGGUUGCGGACAGUGUCUGGUGGGUAGUUUGACUGGGGCGGUCUCCUCCUAAAGAGUAACGGAGGAGCACGAAGGUUGGCUAAUCCUGGUCGGACAUCAGGAGGUUAGUGCAAUGGCAUAAGCCAGCUUGACUGCGAGCGUGACGGCGCGAGCAGGUGCGAAAGCAGGUCAUAGUGAUCCGGUGGUUCUGAAUGGAAGGGCCAUCGCUCAACGGAUAAAAGGUACUCCGGGGAUAACAGGCUGAUACCGCCCAAGAGUUCAUAUCGACGGCGGUGUUUGGCACCUCGAUGUCGGCUCAUCACAUCCUGGGGCUGAAGUAGGUCCCAAGGGUAUGGCUGUUCGCCAUUUAAAGUGGUACGCGAGCUGGGUUUAGAACGUCGUGAGACAGUUCGGUCCCUAUCUGCCGUGGGCGCUGGAGAACUGAGGGGGGCUGCUCCUAGUACGAGAGGACCGGAGUGGACGCAUCACUGGUGUUCGGG